CUACGGGUGGCAGCAGUGGGGAAUAUUGCACAAUGGGCGCAAGCCUGAUGCAGCCAUGCCGCGUGUAUGAAGAAGGCCUUCGGGUUGUAAAGUACUUUCAGCGGGGAGGAAGGGAGUAAAGUUAAUACCUUUGCUCAUUGACGUUACCCGCAGAAGAAGCACCGGCGAACUCCGUGCCAGCAGCCGCGGUAAUACGGAGGGUGCAUGCGUUAAUCGGAAUUACUGGGCGUAAAGCGCACGCAGGCGGUUUGUUAAGUCAGAUGUGAAAUCCCCGGGCGCAACCUGGGAACUGUAUCUGAUACUGGCAAGCUUGAGUCUCGUAGAGGGGGGUAGAAUUCCAGGUGUAGCGGUGAAAUGCGUAGAGAUCUGGAGGAAUACCGGUGGCGAAGGCGGCCCCCUGGACGAAGACUGACGCUCAGGUGCGAAAGCGUGGGGAGCAAACAGGAUUAGAUACCCGAGUAGUC
Molecule: ribosomal RNA, 464 nt
Filed under: uncultured bacterium
Lineage: Bacteria
Description: partial 16S ribosomal RNA
Rfam family: Bacterial small subunit ribosomal RNA
Source: RNAcentral